UACAUGGGGUGCAAACGUUGUUCGGAAUUAUUGGGCGUAAAGCGCUUGUAGGCGGCACGUCAAGUCGCGUGUGAAAUCCCCAGGCUUAACCUGGGAAGUGCGCGCGAAACUGACGAGCUUGAGUGCCGGAGAGGGUCGCGGAAUUCCCGGUGUAGAGGUGAAAUUCGUAGAUAUCGGGAGGAACACCAGUGGCGAAGGCGGCGACCUGGACGGACACUGACGCUGAGACGCGAAAGCGUGGGGAGCAAACAGG
Molecule: ribosomal RNA, 253 nt
Filed under: uncultured bacterium
Lineage: Bacteria
Description: partial 16S ribosomal RNA
Rfam family: Bacterial small subunit ribosomal RNA
Source: RNAcentral